GGGGGCGUAGCUCAGCUGGGAGAGCGUCUGGUUCGCAAUCAGAAGGUCGGGGGUUCGAUCCCCCCCGUCUCCACCA
This 76-nucleotide transfer RNA is filed under the name Gammaproteobacteria bacterium. Its description in RNAcentral is "tRNA-Ala". It matches the Rfam family "tRNA". Rfam says of the family: Transfer RNA (tRNA) molecules are approximately 80 nucleotides in length. Their secondary structure includes four short double-helical elements and three loops (D, anti-codon, and T loops). The record is from RNAcentral. Lineage: Bacteria; Pseudomonadati; Pseudomonadota; Gammaproteobacteria. RNAcentral also lists the same sequence under 1 other name.